This 294-nucleotide long non-coding RNA is filed under the name Nicotiana benthamiana. RNAcentral describes it as "long non-coding RNA (NBEN_LNC036084)". The record is from RNAcentral. Lineage: Eukaryota; Viridiplantae; Streptophyta; Magnoliopsida; Solanales; Solanaceae.
GUUAUUAAAAAGUUUCACAAGUUCAUGCGUAAAGAGUAUGAACGGAAGGGAAAGAGGCAAGGAAGACCACCCAAAUGCUAUGGGUGUGGAGAAGUUGGGCACAUCAAACCUAAAUGCCCAAACACAAAGACGGAAAAGAAGACCGUCAAGAAACAAAGAGCCUACAUCUCUUGGGGAGGCGACUCCGGGGAUGAGUCAAGCAACGGAGAUGAAGAUGAGACCGCCAACUUAUGUCUCAUGGCACAUGAGGAAGCAUAAGAAGAGGUAUGUGAAACUUCUCCUAAAGAUCCUUAU